CCUACGGGUGGCAGCAGUCGAGAAUCAUUCACAAUGGGGGAAACCCUGAUGGGGCGACGCCGCGUGGGGGAAUGAAGGUCUGCGGAUGGUAAACCCCUGUCAUGGGGGAGAAAAGUAAAAAGAGAGAACCACAAGAGGAAGAGACGGCGAACGCAGAGCCAGCAGCCGCGGUAAGACAGAGGUCUCAAGCGUUGUUCGGAACCACUGGGCGUAAAGGGUGCGGAGGCGGUUUCGUACGUCGUGUGUGAAAGGCGCGGGCUCAACCCGCGGACGGCCCAUGAGACUGCGAGACUAGAGUACUGGAGGGGGAACCGGAAUUCUCGGUGUAGCAGUGAAAUGCGUAGAUAUCGCGAGGAACACUCGUGGCGACGGCGGGUUCCUGGACAUUACCUGACGCUGAGGCACGAAGGCCCGGGGAGCGAACUGGAUUAGAUACCCGGGUAGUC
Molecule: ribosomal RNA, 446 nt
Filed under: uncultured bacterium
Lineage: Bacteria
Description: partial 16S ribosomal RNA
Rfam family: Bacterial small subunit ribosomal RNA
Source: RNAcentral